AUUAGUAUCGGAUCUGAGAUCUUAGUUUAUUGCCCAAUUGCCCCUUAGGUGUGGCGGUUUUGGUAAGUAUUCCUCAUCCAUUGGCUAAGGUUGGCCGAAUAGCCAUAGUAAGGUAGGGAGACUUGUGUUGGAUACGAGUCACCUAUUAUUCUGGUUUUAAUAGUUAUGAUUUGUAACACCCCGUACCCGAGACCAUUGCCGGAGUCAGACACGAGGGGUUCGCAGAC
RNAcentral lists this long non-coding RNA (227 nucleotides) under Gossypium barbadense (sea-island cotton). RNAcentral describes it as "long non-coding RNA (GBAR_LNC007149)". The record is from RNAcentral. Lineage: Eukaryota; Viridiplantae; Streptophyta; Magnoliopsida; Malvales; Malvaceae.